Long non-coding RNA from Trichomycterus rosablanca, 444 nucleotides. RefSeq lists it as uncharacterized. The record is from RefSeq and is a predicted model, not a curated record. The transcript has 2 exons. NCBI's taxonomy places the organism in Eukaryota, Metazoa, Chordata, Actinopteri, Siluriformes, Trichomycteridae.
GUUGAGGCACCAGCCACAAUGCUCAGAGGAAUCGGGCAGUAAACUUGAUCUUCAGUGCUCCUUCAGACUGAACCCCUAGUCACAGCAGAAUCUCGACUUUCGCAUUUCUUUGCAAAACAGCUUAACAAUCUUGCAAGGAAACAUCAACUAUGCAAAGAUUCUCAAUGAUCUCUACCUGUCCAGAAACAGGCUAACCUGUAAGUCGAGACUCAUCAGCAUCGAGCAACAAUAGUCAUACUGACAUAGUUACAUAACAGGAGCACCCGAACGUCGCCCUUAAUCCUCCAGUGUCUGCUAAUAUAUUCUCAAACCAGAAUCCAACCAAGUAAGCAUCUGUAGAUUUGUGCUGAAGCGUAUGCUUUCAGCAUAGUGAGACGCUAGCAAUGGCUGUUUCCGUCUGUUAUGUGUAAGCACCAGUAAAAGCACCAUUAGAGAUAAAACCCA